AUUGAACGCUGGCGGCAUGCCUUACACAUGCAAGUCGAACGGUAACGCGGGGCAACCUGGCGACGAGUGGCGAACGGGUGAGUAAUAUAUCGGAACGUGCCCAAUAGUGGGGGAUAGCCCGGCGAAAGCCGGAUUAAUACCGCAUACGACCUGAGGGUGAAAGCGGGGGAUCGCAAGACCUCGCGCUAUUGGAGCGGCCGAUAUCAGAUUAGGUAGUUGGUGGGGUAAAGGCCUACCAAACCUGCGAUCUGUAGCUGGUCUGAGAGGACGACCAGCCACACUGGGACUGAGACACGGCCCAGACUCCUACGGGAGGCAGCAGUGGGGAAUUUUGGACAAUGGGCGCAAGCCUGAUCCAGCCAUGCCGCGUGCGGGAAGAAGGCCUCGG
This 388-nucleotide ribosomal RNA is filed under the name uncultured bacterium. RNAcentral's name for it is "bacterial SSU rRNA". It matches the Rfam family "Bacterial small subunit ribosomal RNA", at positions 29 to 420 of the family's 1533-position model. The record is from RNAcentral.